This 198-nucleotide ribosomal RNA is filed under the name uncultured bacterium. RNAcentral describes it as "partial 16S ribosomal RNA". It matches the Rfam family "Bacterial small subunit ribosomal RNA", at positions 1303 to 1500 of the family's 1533-position model. The record is from RNAcentral.
GUCUGCAACUCGACUACAUGAAGCUGGAAUCGCUAGUAAUCGCGGAUCAGAAUGCCGCGGUGAAUACGUUCCCGAGUCUUGUACACACCGCCCGUCACACCAUGGGAGUCGGAAAUGCCCGAAGUCUGUGACCGAACCGAAAGGAAGGAGCAGCCGAAGGCAGGUCGGAUGACUGGGGUGAAGUCGUAACAAGGUACC